Molecule: ribosomal RNA, 169 nt
Filed under: Conocybe moseri var. bisporigera
Lineage: Eukaryota; Fungi; Basidiomycota; Agaricomycetes; Agaricales; Bolbitiaceae
Description: 5.8S ribosomal RNA
Rfam family: 5.8S ribosomal RNA
About the family: 5.8S ribosomal RNA (5.8S rRNA) is a component of the large subunit of the eukaryotic ribosome. It is transcribed by RNA polymerase I as part of the 45S precursor that also contains 18S and 28S rRNA. Functionally, it is thought that 5.8S rRNA may be involved in ribosome translocation.
Source: RNAcentral
UACAAUUUUCACCAACGGAUCUUUUGGCUCUCCCAUCGGUAAAAAACCCACCGAAAUGCGAUAAUUAAGGUGAAUUGCMAAAUUCAUUGAAUCCUCGAAUYUUUGAACCCCCCUUGCCCCCCUUGGUAUUCCGAGGAGCAUGCCUGUUUGAGUGUCAUUAAAUUCUCAA